CAAUAGCUCAGUCGGUAGAGCGCUACACUGGUAAUGUAGAGGUCCCGGGUUCGAUUCCCGGUUGA
Molecule: transfer RNA, 65 nt
Filed under: Thermoplasmata archaeon
Lineage: Archaea; Methanobacteriati; Thermoplasmatota; Thermoplasmata
Description: tRNA-Thr
Rfam family: tRNA
About the family: Transfer RNA (tRNA) molecules are approximately 80 nucleotides in length. Their secondary structure includes four short double-helical elements and three loops (D, anti-codon, and T loops).
Source: RNAcentral